CAUGAGGUACCUAAUCAAUAAUAGCCAAUGUUCUUUUAAAAAUAUCUCUGUUCUCUUGCAGUUCGCUACUCUCCAAUGGAGAGACACGGUGAUGAGUAAGGUGUGAAUCUCAAAAUGAGAUUAACGUCCUUGUAAAGCAGUCUGAGGGAGUGUGUUUGCCCUUAGUGUUGUGUGGCAUCACAAUCAGAAGGGGCCACCUUUGAAGGCGAGAGCAAGCCCUCAGCAGGCCCAAGAGAGAUGCUCAUCCCAAGAGAGAGAUGCUCAUCCCAAGAGAGAUAUUCAUCCCAAGAGAGAGAUGCUCAUCCCAAGAGAGAUAUUCAUCCAAAGAGAGAUGUUCAUCCCAGGAGAGAUGUUCAUCCCAGGAGAGAUGCUCAUCCCAGGAGAGAUGUUCAUCCCAAGAGAGAUGCUCAUCCCAGGAGAGAUGUUCAUCCCAAGAGAGAUGCUCAUCCCAAGAGAGAUGUUCAUUCCAAGAGAGAGAUGCUCAUCCUAAGAGAGAUGCUCAUCCCAGGAGAGAUGUUCAUCCCAGGAGAGAUGUUCAUCCCAGGAGAGAUGUUCAUCCCAGGAGAGAUGUUCAUCCCAGGAGAGAUGUUCAUCCCAGGAGAGAUGCUCAUCCCAAGAGAGAUGCUCAUCCCAGGAGAGAGGUUCAUCCCAAGAGAGAUGCUCAUCCUAAGAGAGAUGCUCAUCCCAGGAGAGAUGUUCAUCCCAGGAGAGAUGUUCAUCCCAGGAGAGAUGUUCAUCCCAGGAGAGAUGCUCAUCCCAGGAGAGAGGUUCAUCCCAAGAGAGAUGCUCAUCCCAAGAGAGAUGCUCAUCCCAGGAGAGACGCUUAUCACAAGAGCAAGCCAAAAAGCACAUCGAUGGGUAAAACGAAAAAGUUAAAGGGACCCGAGCUGGAAAGAAGGGGAUAAAAAAAGAUCAAA
This is a long non-coding RNA of Mesocricetus auratus (golden hamster), 917 nucleotides long. RefSeq lists it as uncharacterized. NCBI's taxonomy places the organism in Eukaryota, Metazoa, Chordata, Mammalia, Rodentia, Cricetidae. The record is from RefSeq and is a predicted model, not a curated record. The transcript has 2 exons.